UACGUAGGGUGCGAGCGUUGUCCGGAAUUAUUGGGCGUAAAGAGCUUGUAGGCGGUCUGUCGCGUCUGCUGUGAAAAUCCGGAGCUCAACCCCGGACUUGCAGUGGGUACGGGCAGACUAGAGUGUGGUAGGGGAGACUGGAAUUCCUGGUGUAGCGGUGAAAUGCGCAGAUAUCAGGAGGAACACCGGUGGCGAAGGCGGGUCUCUGGGCCGUAACUGACGCUGAGGAGCGAAAGCGUGGGGAGCGAACAGG
This 253-nucleotide ribosomal RNA is filed under the name uncultured bacterium. RNAcentral's name for it is "partial 16S ribosomal RNA". It matches the Rfam family "Bacterial small subunit ribosomal RNA", at positions 524 to 776 of the family's 1533-position model. The record is from RNAcentral.